AGUGAACGCUGGCGAUAGGCCUAACACAUGCAAGUCGAACGGCAGCACAGUAAGAGCUUGCUCUUACGGGUGGCGAGUGGCGGACGGGUGAGGAAUACAUCGGAAUCUACUUUUUCGUGGGGGAUAACGUAGGGAAACUUACGCUAAUACCGCAUACGACCUACGUGUGAAAGCAGGGGAUCUUCGGACCUUGCGCGAUUGAAUGAGCCGAUGUCGGAUUAGCUAGUUGGCGGGGUAAAGGCCCACCAAGGCGACGAUCCGUAGCUGGUCUGAGAGGAUGAUCAGCCACACUGGAACUGAGACACGGUCCAGACUCCUACGGGAGGCAGCAGUGGGGAAUAUUGGACAAUGGGCGCAAGCCUGAUCCAGCCAUACCGCGUGGGUGAAGAAGGCCUUCGGGUUGUAAAGCCCUUUUGUUGGGAAAGAAAAGCAGCAGGUUAAUACCCCGCUGUUCUGACGGUACCCAAAGAAUAAGCACCGGCUAACUUCGU
RNAcentral lists this ribosomal RNA (491 nucleotides) under uncultured bacterium. RNAcentral describes it as "partial 16S ribosomal RNA". It matches the Rfam family "Bacterial small subunit ribosomal RNA", at positions 29 to 506 of the family's 1533-position model. The record is from RNAcentral.